AUGAGGCUCACCUUGUCCAUCCUCCCCUCCCCCUCUCCUUCCUCUAUGGGCUGGAUGAGGAGAAUGAGUCGAUUCUCAGCGGCCCAGACAGUGCCCCGUCGAUGCCCUCAGCAAGGAGCUCUUUGGAAACCCCAGAAUGACUCGGAGCCGGAGGCCCCGUUUCCUCUCCUGACCGCAUCCUGCAGCUCGCAGCAGGGGGCAGGUGCAGGAGGGGCAGUGCCCGUCUGCCUCUGUCUCUGUGGGCCACAACCCGCUCGACGGGGCGCAGGCUGGCUGCAGGCAGCCCUAGAGAUAGAGGUGCCCUCCAAAAUAGCACUUGACCUACAUGGGGCCUUUUCCUCACUUUGCCAGGUAGGUGGUUAUUAACCAGCUCAGGUACCUAGUUUAGGAGAGACAUAAAAAGUAUGUUUUGGAGCCAGACAGCCUCAGUUUCUUCAUAUAUAAAAUGGGGGUGUAGAUCAGAUGCCUUUUAGAGCGCUUGGGUGGCUCAGUUGGUUGAACGUCUGACUUCAGCUCAGGUCAUGAUCUCACAGAUUGUGGGUUCGAGCCCCACAUCGAGCUUUGCCCUGACAGCGUGGAGCCUUCUUCGGACCCUCUGUCUCCCUCUCUCUGCCCCUCACCCUCUCUCUCUCUCUUUCUCUCUCUGGGGCUCAUUAAACAUUUUUUUUUAAGUAAUAAACAUUUUUUUAAAGAUGCUUUUUAGCA
RNAcentral lists this long non-coding RNA (705 nucleotides) under Felis catus (domestic cat). Its description in RNAcentral is "lncRNA (ENSFCAG00000047084.1)". The stretch from base 477 to 561 matches the Rfam family "tRNA". Lineage: Eukaryota; Metazoa; Chordata; Mammalia; Carnivora; Felidae. The record is from RNAcentral.